UACAGAGGGUGCAAGCGUUAAUCGGAAUUAUUGGGCGUAAAGCGCGCGCAGGCGGUUUCUUAAGUCUGAUGUGAAAGCCCACGGCUCAACCGUGGAGGGUCAUUGGAAACUGGGGAACUUGAGUGCAGAAGAGAAAAGCGGAAUUCCACGUGUAGCGGUGAAAUGCGUAGAGAUGUGGAGGAACACCAGUGGCGAAGGCGGCUUUUUGGUCUGUAACUGACGCUGAGGCGCGAAAGCGUGGGGAGCAAACAGG
RNAcentral lists this ribosomal RNA (253 nucleotides) under uncultured bacterium. RNAcentral describes it as "partial 16S ribosomal RNA". It matches the Rfam family "Bacterial small subunit ribosomal RNA", at positions 524 to 776 of the family's 1533-position model. The record is from RNAcentral.